GCUGAGAAUGCGUGUCUCCACCACGCCUCGGAUUCUAAUUGACUUUGAGUGGAGACUGCAUGCGUGGUGACAGCACGCAUUUUCAGCACUUUGCGUGAAAUAAGCACGCAAUCUGGGACCCUCUGGUUCUAACAAUGCGUGCUCAUUUCACGCAUUUCUGUGAGAUCAGGUUGUUCAGAGUUAUUCACCGCGGAAGUUGGUAGUGGCCGCUAAUGGCUAAAUCCAUUAACUGCAGGGAGGGAUGCACUCUCACAGAGAUGUCAGGGACCCCCCAGGGACACACACAGCCAACCCCCAUCUCCCUAGUCUUACCCGUUUAGGAGCUAUUCAAGCUGGAAGUUGGGAUUAGCAGCUAACGGCUAAUCACAGCUCACGCCCACUUUGUGCAGCAUUUCUACAAGGUGGGCGGGGCUGCCUCAUGCCCGCGGGUGUGUAAGGUCACCACAGACCAGGUGUGAAGGUUUGAGCCGGCUAGCUAUCACUGUUUGGGAACUAUUAAUAGAAACAGCUAAAUUAGCUCCUUUUUUAGCCACAAAAUGCUAGCAUUUGCCUUAUUUGCAUAUUUCUACAUGUCCUGGAGGGCUGAAAAUGGCACCAUAGGUGUGUGAUGGGACAACAAGGAAGCCCUGCAGGUUUCAGCCCCCCACCUAUCACCGUUUUUUUUUUAGAAAAUAAAAACGUGAAAAUGCAAAAUAUCGAAAUUAGCUUUUUUCGGGUACUUCCCUUUGAGCUACAGAUACCACAGCCGGCACACACGAGCUGGGUGUGGAGACGGGGAUUUCAUGCUGGUUUGAGCUCGUUUGGCGGAGUAUUUCAAAAACGGUGCAAAAAAUAUGCUCCGUUAAGGCAUUUUUGAAAUCUGCUCCUUCCAGCUCCCUGGAAGGGUUCUGGUGGGGCUGGAGGGCUGAGACUGCACACAGGGGAUGGGGCAGCAUUCCCGAGGCAUAAUCUAAGUUUCGUGUCUCUAGCUCAAAGCGUUGAGGGAGUUCUAGCCCCAUUGACCUUUGACCUUUGGGGUUAGGAGCGUCCCAGACGGCUGAUAUUUCACACAGUGGCAGCCCUCAGUCAGGAUCUAGAUUUUCAGCUCCCUAGCUCAAAGUGUUGAGGCAUUCUCCUGUCUAUCAGGCUGCAAUCUGGACCUCUCACUGUGCAUGUGGAAAGAUAGAUAUUCAAGUAAGAAUGGACUGAAUCAUUUGCUUUCAUUACCAAUGCGGAAGGAUUGCCUGCAUGUUUGCUUUGUAACAAGAAGUUAAAAAGACAUUUUCAGGGAAGGCAUGCUAAAUUAACCCAGUUCGCAGUGAGAGAAAAAGUGCUUCUGAAGAAAUUAGAGGAGCGCAAAGAUCGAUUCAAGAAGUGGAUUGCAACUCCAAACUCCACUACUGCUGCAAGUUUUGUUGCAACCCGAGAGAUAAUAACGCGAGGAAAACUACCUCUCUCCGCAAGGACGGUGAGAGAAAAUGCAGGCGCAAAUACCGCCCGCCUCAGAGGAGAGCUGCAGUCCUGUGUGAAGAUUGAAGUUUUUUACAUGCCCGAUGUUGAGAAGCUGUCCAGUGAUGUCCAAAAACAGAAGUCACAUUAAACAGGUCCGAGGAUUGCUGCGCUUGUGUUGUGCUGUCUGUUGCUGUCUGGGCUGGUAUUUCACAAGGGGGAUGGGGCGGCAUUCCCGAGACAUAAUCUGAAGUUUCGUGUCUCUAGCUCAAUGCGUUGUUUUCAUCCUCUGGGGGAAUCCCCCUGAUUAGGGUUACCUCACCUCACCUCUGUGUUUUCCAACCUCACAGAAAUGCGUGAAAUGAGCACGCAUUGUUAAAACCAGAGGGUCCCAGACUGUGUGCUCCUGUCACGCAAUGUGCUGAAAUUGCGUGUGGUCACCACGCAAACAGUCUCCACUGAAAGUCAAUUGGAAUCCACGGCGUGGUCUGGACACGCAUUCUCAGCUUCAACGACGUCACUCUGUGGGUGUUGUUUCAGAGAUCCCGGAAGUGCAAAUGUAGACUGAUCGAUAUUCUGAAGAAAGAUGUGAUUAUUAUCCAAACCAGUGCAGCCAUCUGAGGCAGACUGUGUAGCAGUGGUCUGAGCUUCUGCUGAGUCAAAAAGCCCCGUGAAAUAUCAACUCUAUUUUAAGAAAACACGUUUUAUUGUCAACGUCUUAUCAUGGAGAAGCACUACAAUACCCAUAAUCCUCAUGUCUGAUUGGUCCAGCUCGCUGUUACCAGCAAAAAAAAAGAAAAAGAGCUUUUAUCAUAUUCCCUUGGUCCUUUUUGUUUUCAACAUUGAAUUUUCACUUUCUAAUUCAAUGAGUGAAAUGUUCUUUUUUUUAAUCUGAAAAACACUGGCGUUUCCCGUAGGUAACACUGUCGGCUUACCCACAUGGGGUGGUGACAGAAACAGAGCGACACAUUUAUUUCCCGGUCCUGGUCAUUAUAUGUUCUGAAUUACACAUAUGAUGUUUGUGGAAUUAAAUGAUAAUUUGUCGUGUUGAAAGUUUGAUGGUUUGUUGCUCCGAUUGUUUCCCUGUAUUCGCUCGUGCUUGGUGGAAGACCGUCAGAGCAUGACGUCACAUAUGACACUUGAAAUUAGUUUGGCUUUUCACACAGUCAAACUAACAGAGUUAAGGGAGACGUAUCUAAAUUGUAAUUUACACAUUGCUUUUCUACCAAUAAAUGUACAUUUUAUUUUCAUAUUUUCCACUCGGUUUAUGGAUGUGAUCUGUCGUUUUUUUGUUUCAAAGCGCAAUCUGUCUAUUUUGCCAGCUGAACUGCUGCCAGGUUAGUUGUUAGGCUGUCACGAAGGACUCUGACCGCCGAACCGGAAGGAAGUUGAUGUGCGUCACGGACUGCAUUUUUUUUAAGAAUGGCAUUUUGCUCUUUAACUAAUGAUUGCCCACAAAUACGACGGCCUGUGUCCUUUUGUUUAGCUUGUUUAUGUCUGCUGAGGGGCGGAAUGCUUUCCGUCUGAUUUCCCCACCCACUGAGAACAGUAUCCAUGGAGACAAACAAGGCCGGUGGAGACACAGCUUAACCGAGUCGAGUGCAGCGGGGUAGAGUCCAGUCCAGUAGAGUGGGGUAGCUGGAAACACGCCAUAUGUCAGUAAUAUAAUUUGAGGGAACCAAAACAUUAAAGAUGCACACUGACUGACAGCAAUAAAGCCUCAAAACUCAAGAAACUCAAUCUAGAUGCAGCAUAUAGAAUUAGAUCAUUUUAUACCUAAAUGUGAAGAACUUAUUAGCUGUGGUUGAGGUGAAAAAAAAAAAAAAAAAAAAAA
Molecule: long non-coding RNA, 3262 nt
Organism: Salarias fasciatus (jewelled blenny)
Lineage: Eukaryota; Metazoa; Chordata; Actinopteri; Blenniiformes; Blenniidae
Exons: 2
Source: RefSeq, a predicted model, not a curated record